GGCUGGAGCGCACCAGGGCUUAGCUCCGCCUCCUGAGGUCCACAACAAACCCCACCAGGGUUAAGCUCCACCUCCUUAGGUCCAUAACAAACCCCACCAGGGCUUAGCUCCGCCUCCUUAGGUCCACAACAAACCCCACCAGGCCUUUGCUUCGCCUCCUUAGGUCCAUAACAAACCCCACCAGGGCUUAGCUCCGCCUCCUUAGGUCCACAACAAACCCCACCAGGCCUUUGCUUCGCCUCCUUAGGUCCACAACAAACUCAACCAGGGCUUAGCUCCGCCUCCUGAGGUCCACAACAAGCCCCACCAGACCUCAGCUCCGCCUCCUUAGGUCCACAACAAACCCCACCAGGGUUUAGCUCCGCCUCCUUAGGUCAACAACAACACC
Sphaeramia orbicularis (orbiculate cardinalfish) is the source of this 388-nucleotide long non-coding RNA. RefSeq lists it as uncharacterized. NCBI's taxonomy places the organism in Eukaryota, Metazoa, Chordata, Actinopteri, Kurtiformes, Apogonidae. The record is from RefSeq and is a predicted model, not a curated record. The transcript is spliced from 3 exons.